GUCGAGGUUUGCUGCAGGUGUCUGUUUGAUGGUUCCACUUCCGUGUUCCUGUAAAGGCAGAGAUCUCCAUGGGAGUCGUCGCUGGUUAUGCACUGCUCAGCACGGGUGGUUGCUGGCUGUUGGAUGCUCCGGUGCUGUGUUGGCUGGGACCGAUGGAGUGUUCCAGGUUCUUGGUGGUGAGGAGUGAGCCCUGCAGACGCCUCUGCUGUUUUGCCUGGAGUUGAGACCAUUGCUCCGCCCUGAUGUCUGCUGCUACCUGUCUGGAUUUGUCGUUCAGCUUGGAGAUUAGGCUGAUGCCUGCUCAUGGAGUUGGUGGUGUGAUGGUUCCCUCUGGUGUUCAGAGAGGCCACCUGCAGAUGGGGACUACUGACUUAUCUUGAAUGUUUUAUCAAUUGUUUGUGUUUUUAUAAUCAGUUUCACUAAGUUUUGUAAGUGAACCUCCUACUCUGCCGAGUUUGCAGAAAACCUGUGUGCCUAACGUUGGAGUUAUUCUUCCUUCCAGUCCACAGCAUCACUGGCUCCAAGGCACAAAGUACUGAAAACUGAUUCAAAUAAAAUAUGCAGUCUUUAGUCUAAUAACAGCUCAUACAACCCCUGGCAAAAAUUAUGGAAUCACCGGCCUCAGAUGAUGUUCAUUCAGUUGUUUAAUUUUGUAGAAAAAAAGCAGAUCACA
Thalassophryne amazonica is the source of this 673-nucleotide long non-coding RNA. RefSeq lists it as uncharacterized. NCBI's taxonomy places the organism in Eukaryota, Metazoa, Chordata, Actinopteri, Batrachoidiformes, Batrachoididae. The record is from RefSeq and is a predicted model, not a curated record. The transcript has 3 exons.